GACAGAGGUGGCGAGCGUUGUUCGGAAUUACUGGGCUUAAAGGGCGAGUAGGCGGUGGAGCAAGUCUGAUGUGGAAUCCUAUGGCUUAACCAUAGAACUGCCUUAGAAACUGUUUCACUUGAGUCAGUGAGGGGAGGGCGGAAUUCCUGGUGUAGCGGUGAAAUGCGUAGAUAUCAGGAGGAAGGCCUGUGGCGAAGGCGGCCCUCUGGCACUGCACUGACGCUGAGGCGCGAAAGCGUGGGGAGCAAACAGG
Molecule: ribosomal RNA, 253 nt
Filed under: uncultured bacterium
Lineage: Bacteria
Description: partial 16S ribosomal RNA
Rfam family: Bacterial small subunit ribosomal RNA
Source: RNAcentral